Molecule: ribosomal RNA, 2931 nt
Filed under: Escherichia coli
Lineage: Bacteria; Pseudomonadati; Pseudomonadota; Gammaproteobacteria; Enterobacterales; Enterobacteriaceae
Description: 23S ribosomal RNA
Rfam family: Bacterial large subunit ribosomal RNA
Source: RNAcentral
GGGUUGUGAGGUUAAGCGACUAAGCGUACACGGUGGAUGCCCUGGCAGUCAGAGGCGAUGAAGGACGUGCUAAUCUGCGAUAAGCGUCGGUAAGGUGAUAUGAACCGUUAUAACCGGCGAUUUCCGAAUGGGGAAACCCAGUGUGAUUCGUCACACUAUCAUUAACUGAAUCCAUAGGUUAAUGAGGCGAACCGGGGGAACUGAAACAUCUAAGUACCCCGAGGAAAAGAAAUCAACCGAGAUUCCCCCAGUAGCGGCGAGCGAACGGGGAGCAGCCCAGAGCCUGAAUCAGUGUGUGUGUUAGUGGAAGCGUCUGGAAAGGCGCGCGAUACAGGGUGACAGCCCCGUACACAAAAAUGCACAUGCUGUGAGCUCGAUGAGUAGGGCGGGACACGUGGUAUCCUGUCUGAAUAUGGGGGGACCAUCCUCCAAGGCUAAAUACUCCUGACUGACCGAUAGUGAACCAGUACCGUGAGGGAAAGGCGAAAAGAACCCCGGCGAGGGGAGUGAAAAAGAACCUGAAACCGUGUACGUACAAGCAGUGGGAGCCUCUUAAUGGGGUGACUGCGUACCUUUUGUAUAAUGGGUCAGCGACUUAUAUUCUGUAGCAAGGUUAACCGAAUAGGGGAGCCGAAGGGAAACCGAGUCUUAACUGGGCGUUAAGUUGCAGGGUAUAGACCCGAAACCCGGUGAUCUAGCCAUGGGCAGGUUGAAGGUUGGGUAACACUAACUGGAGGACCGAACCGACUAAUGUUGAAAAAUUAGCGGAUGACUUGUGGCUGGGGGUGAAAGGCCAAUCAAACCGGGAGAUAGCUGGUUCUCCCCGAAAGCUAUUUAGGUAGCGCCUCGUGAAUUCAUCUCCGGGGGUAGAGCACUGUUUCGGCAAGGGGGUCAUCCCGACUUACCAACCCGAUGCAAACUGCGAAUACCGGAGAAUGUUAUCACGGGAGACACACGGCGGGUGCUAACGUCCGUCGUGAAGAGGGAAACAACCCAGACCGCCAGCUAAGGUCCCAAAGUCAUGGUUAAGUGGGAAACGAUGUGGGAAGGCCCAGACAGCCAGGAUGUUGGCUUAGAAGCAGCCAUCAUUUAAAGAAAGCGUAAUAGCUCACUGGUCGAGUCGGCCUGCGCGGAAGAUGUAACGGGGCUAAACCAUGCACCGAAGCUGCGGCAGCGACGCUUAUGCGUUGUUGGGUAGGGGAGCGUUCUGUAAGCCUGCGAAGGUGUACUGUGAGGUAUGCUGGAGGUAUCAGAAGUGCGAAUGCUGACAUAAGUAACGAUAAAGCGGGUGAAAAGCCCGCUCGCCGGAAGACCAAGGGUUCCUGUCCAACGUUAAUCGGGGCAGGGUGAGUCGACCCCUAAGGCGAGGCCGAAAGGCGUAGUCGAUGGGAAACAGGUUAAUAUUCCUGUACUUGGUGUUACUGCGAAGGGGGGACGGAGAAGGCUAUGUUGGCCGGGCGACGGUUGUCCCGGUUUAAGCGUGUAGGCUGGUUUUCCAGGCAAAUCCGGAAAAUCAAGGCUGAGGCGUGAUGACGAGGCACUACGGUGCUGAAGCAACAAAUGCCCUGCUUCCAGGAAAAGCCUCUAAGCAUCAGGUAACAUCAAAUCGUACCCCAAACCGACACAGGUGGUCAGGUAGAGAAUACCAAGGCGCUUGAGAGAACUCGGGUGAAGGAACUAGGCAAAAUGGUGCCGUAACUUCGGGAGAAGGCACGCUGAUAUGUAGGUGAAGUCCCUUGCGGAUGGAGCUGAAAUCAGUCGAAGAUACCAGCUGGCUGCAACUGUUUAUUAAAAACACAGCACUGUGCAAACACGAAAGUGGACGUAUACGGUGUGACGCCUGCCCGGUGCCGGAAGGUUAAUUGAUGGGGUUAGCGGUAACGCGAAGCUCUUGAUCGAAGCCCCGGUAAACGGCGGCCGUAACUAUAACGGUCCUAAGGUAGCGAAAUUCCUUGUCGGGUAAGUUCCGACCUGCACGAAUGGCGUAAUGAUGGCCAGGCUGUCUCCACCCGAGACUCAGUGAAAUUGAACUCGCUGUGAAGAUGCAGUGUACCCGCGGCAAGACGGAAAGACCCCGUGAACCUUUACUAUAGCUUGACACUGAACAUUGAGCCUUGAUGUGUAGGAUAGGUGGGAGGCUUUGAAGUGUGGACGCCAGUCUGCAUGGAGCCGACCUUGAAAUACCACCCUUUAAUGUUUGAUGUUCUAACGUUGGCCCCUAAUCGGGGUUGCGGACAGUGUCUGGUGGGUAGUUUGACUGGGGCGGUCUCCUCCUAAAGAGUAACGGAGGAGCACGAAGGUUGGCUAAUCCUGGUCGGACAUCAGGAGGUUAGUGCAAUGGCAUAAGCCAGCUUGACUGCGAGCGUGACGGCGCGAGCAGGUGCGAAAGCAGGUCAUAGUGAUCCGGUGGUUCUGAAUGGAAGGGCCAUCGCUCAACGGAUAAAAGGUACUCCGGGGAUAACAGGCUGAUACCGCCCAAGAGUUCAUAUCGACGGCGGUGUUUGGCACCUCGAUGUCGGCUCAUCACAUCCUGGGGCUGAAGUAGGUCCCAAGGGUAUGGCUGUUCGCCAUUUAAAGUGGUACGCGAGCUGGGUUUAGAACGUCGUGAGACAGUUCGGUCCCUAUCUGCCGUGGGCGCUGGAGAACUGAGGGGGGCUGCUCCUAGUACGAGAGGACCGGAGUGGACGCAUCACUGGUGUUCGGGUUGUCAUGCCAAUGGCACUGCCCGGUAGCUAAAUGCGGAAGAGAUAAGUGCUGAAAGCAUCUAAGCACGAAACUUGCCCCGAGAUGAGUUCUCCCUGACUCCCUGAGAGUCCUGAAGGAACGUUGAAGACGACGACGUUGAUAGGCCGGGUGUGUAAGCGCAGCGAUGCGUUGAGCUAACCGGUACUAAUGAACCGUGAGGCUUAACCUUACAACGCCGAAGCUGUU